UCUAUACUAUAGAGUUUGAUCCUGGCUCAGAGCGAACGCUGGCGGCAGGCCUAACACAUGCAAGUCGAACGAACCUUCGGGUUAGUGGCGGACGGGUGAGUAACACGUGGGAACGUACCUUUUGGUUCGGAAUAACGCAGAGAAAUUUGCGCUAAUACCGAAUGUGCCCUUCGGGGAAAGAGUUUAUCGCCAUUAGAGCGGCCCGCGUUAGAUUAGCUAGUUGGUGAGGUAAAGGCUCACCAAGGCUACGAUCUAUAGCUGGUCUGAGAGGAUGAUCAGCCACAUUGGGACUGAGACACGGCCCAAACUCCUACGGGAGGCAGCAGUGGGGAAUCUUGCGCAAUGGGCGAAAGCCUGACGCAGCCAUGCCGCGUGAAUGAUGAAGGUCUUAGGAUUGUAAAAUUCUUUCAGUAGGGACGAUAAUGACGGUACCUACAGAAGAAGCCCCGGCUAACUUCGUGCCAGCAGCCGCGGUAAU
RNAcentral lists this ribosomal RNA (478 nucleotides) under uncultured Asticcacaulis sp. RNAcentral's name for it is "bacterial SSU rRNA". It matches the Rfam family "Bacterial small subunit ribosomal RNA", at positions 1 to 524 of the family's 1533-position model. The record is from RNAcentral. Lineage: Bacteria; Pseudomonadati; Pseudomonadota; Alphaproteobacteria; Caulobacterales; Caulobacteraceae.